Molecule: ribosomal RNA, 743 nt
Filed under: uncultured bacterium
Lineage: Bacteria
Description: bacterial SSU rRNA
Rfam family: Bacterial small subunit ribosomal RNA
Source: RNAcentral
AGAGUUUGAUCCUGGCUCAGGAUGAAUGCUGGCGGCGUGCCUUAGGCAUGCAAGUCAAGGGGGUUCCGUAAGGAACAACCGGCAGACGGGUGAGUAACGCGUAGGAAUCUACCUCUAGGUGGGACAUAGCUCAGAGAAAUCUGGGGUAAUUUCCCAUAGUCUCGUAAGAGUAAAGGACUUAACGGUCCGCCAAGAGAGGAGCCUGCGUCCUAUCAGCUUGUUGGUGGGGUAAAAGCCUACCAAGGCGAUGACGGGUAGCUGGACUGAGAAGUCGAUCAGCCACAACUGCACUGAAACACGGGCAGUACACCUACGGGUGGCAGCAACCGGGAAUAUUGCGCAAUGGGGGAAACCCUGACGCAGCGACGCCGCGUGAAGGAAGAAGGCCUAUGGGUCGUAAACUUCUUUUGCUAAGCCGCUCACAGCUUAGAGAAUAAGCCUCUACUAACUACGUGCCAGAAGUCUCGGUAAUACGUAGGAGGCAAGCAUUAUCCGGAUUCAUUGGGCGUAAAGUGUGCGUAGGCGGACUAGUGUGUCUUAUUUUAAAGACCAAGGCUUAACCUUGGAUUUGGACAGGAAACUACUAGACUUGAGGAUUAAUCGGGGUGAUAGAACAGUAGGUGUAGCAGUGAAAUGCGUUGAUAUCUACUGGAAUACCAAAGGCGAAGGCGUCACCUGGGUUCUUCCUGACGCUGAGGCACGAAAGCUGGGGUAGCGAAACAGAUUAGAUACCCUAGUAGUCC